This is a small nucleolar RNA of Bombina bombina (fire-bellied toad), 301 nucleotides long. The record is from RefSeq and is a predicted model, not a curated record. Lineage: Eukaryota; Metazoa; Chordata; Amphibia; Anura; Bombinatoridae.
GCCAAGUGAUGAGUCCAAGGCGAAUGUGACCCCCCCCCUUCUUGCCAUGACCUCUGACCUUCCCCUUCGGUCUGUAAUCUUGGUGACUGUUGAGGAGAUUUUCUCAGCCGCUGUAAGGCCAGACCCACAGCAGCGUUAUGCAGGUCUUUUCCCCAUAGCCCCUGUCUGCCCCUCAGAGUGAGAGCGUGCAGCCACUGGGUGUGACCAACACGAUGUGCGGGCAACCAGAGGGGGCAGGUCUGUGGUCACAGCUAUGACAGGGAGGGGGAGAUGAGCUGGCAUCUUUGGUAAUCUGAUGGCA